Long non-coding RNA from Haemorhous mexicanus (house finch), 4460 nucleotides. RefSeq lists it as uncharacterized. Lineage: Eukaryota; Metazoa; Chordata; Aves; Passeriformes; Fringillidae. The record is from RefSeq and is a predicted model, not a curated record. The transcript has 2 exons.
UGGGCCAAACGCCGCCGCCAGGCGACCGGGCGGCGCCCCCUGCCGGGCCCGCCGGGCGAGCUGGGGCGCGGGCGGCGCUUCGGUGUGAGGGUGUUAUCUGUAAUUACUCCUGUCUGCAGGAAUGGGAAUAACUUCUCUCCACUGAGGGUGGCAGAGCACUGGGACAGGCUGCCCAGGGAGGGCGUGGGGUCUCCCUCUCUGGAGGCAUUCAAAACCCACCUGGGUGUGUCACCUGCUCCAGGUGACCUUGCCUUGGCUGGGGCGUUGGACUAAUCGCCCUCCAGAAGCCGCUUCCAGCCCUAACUACUCUGUGAUUUCGUGGUUCAACACGAUUUAAAUUUUAAAUUCGUAGGUGCCUUGAGGAAGCCUGACUCCUUACCCUUGGGAAAACUCUGGCCCUCGAGGCUCACCCUGAUUUGGGGAGUCCAGCCGGUAAAUGUCUCAUUAGGAGCCGUGGGUGAGCUGUCAUUGCGGCUAACAGAGACAGAGCCAAUACAGACAGCAGAGUUUGGAGAGCUUUUCAGGUGGCUGAAUGAAGGUGUCUGCUUUUGGAUCCAGUUAAUUCCUCCCCAGGCUCCACCAAGGGACUGCAUUGAAGAGAUCACCAUGAGCUCUGAUGGCACAUCAGCACUCUAACAGCAUGGCAGGCACACAAUACGAGUCUCACAGAAUCGAGUGACAGAGCAAUCAUUAUUUAGAAGUUUACAGUCCUAAGAGCCAAGACCUAGUAUUUUUCUGUUUUAUAGGCUCUGUUUUUGAAGACUUCACUAGAUUGAUGUCCUGCAAGGUAAUCAUAUUAGAGGGAUUCUCCUCUGUAACGUCAGGCGCUGGAAUUGGAUUCAAGUCAUAAUCACUGAACAUACUAGAGACUUAGGCAUGUAUUCCACUCAAUGAGGAUACAUUUGUGAAACGUUUAAGGGCCGUUUUGAAAGCAGCUCUGUGGACUUGUUAUCAUUGACAGAUACAGCGAAGCUGGAUGAGUAGCAAUAGCUGGCAAACUUCUCCCAACAGCGAACCAAAACCCUUGCAGAUUUGUCAAUACUGCUGGAAUACAGGCAGCUGGCUCUCAAUCUAUUUGCUGCUAUCCUGUAAAUGUCUACAAAUACAUUACAGAGUCUGUGAAAUCCCUGACAUUUUUAUCCCUUGUUUUUUUUUAAAAAUCCUUAUGUCAAUAUUUCUGAGAUUACAGCAGAUGAGAUCCACUAUGUAUUUUUGAGAAAGCUGCACACCCCUUGCUAAUAAUUAUAGUUUCACAUACUGAUUGAAUAGUAGAGGAAAUGUAGUUUUUGCCCUCAGAUAGAGUGCCAAGCAGAGAGGUAUUUUUAUCACAACACCCAUGAUAAAAAUCGCUGUCAACUGGUAGAGUGUCAUAAGAAUGAAGCAAAUUAUUUGCAUUGUUGAAGUAUACAGUGUUGACUACUUUGGAGUUAAAUGAAAUCAUCAGUCCUCAUGCUUGCCUUGGAACAUAUCCCAGAAUAGGAAGGCUAGCACUUAUCAACUAAUCUACUCAGAACAAGCUUAGAAGGCUUUGACACUGCUCAAAUGUCAGCUUGAAUAUCUCCCAUUUGUUUAUUACAUCUAGUUAAUGGGGUCAAUGUGGUAUGGUCAAAAGAAAGUUAUUUAAAUUUCCUGCUCAAAAGAAAAUCCCAGGAGACUGGAAUUUAGAUUUCUAACUAUUUUCUAAUAUGAUUAGGUUGCUUUCUUCUCUGAACUUGUGGUGUUUCUGAAGCAAUUCUUAAUUACUAAUCAAUCUCCUACAGUUAGAUGCUCCUCUGGCGUAUAGACUGAAGGUCAGCAGCAGAGUAAAACAGGAUGGAAAUGUAACACCUUGCUUAGGAAUUUUCUGACUAAACUCAAUGCAGGUUAAUUAUUCUGCAGGUUAAUUGCAAAUGUUCUCUGUCUCUUUGAAAGCUAGGGUUUCCAUGGCAUUCAUAGUAGCUCUUGCAGUUAUUACAAUUACCUGAAAUAUUGACAGAUACAUAGAGAGGUUAAUGCUAAAUUUAAUGAUUUCAGUAACUUCUCCCUACAGUUUCUAACCUUUGUGUUCAGUUACAGAAGAUGUUAAGGAAAACAGCUGUGCAGCACACAUGCCCUGCAGUGGAAAAUUCAGCAGCAGUGCAGCUUGCUGAUAGCAGCUUGCGUAGGAACAGGAAGAAGGACAGAAGGCAGAGACUCACUCAGCUGAAAUCAGACUGAUUUGACCUGUAUCUUUCCAAAAUUAGUGAAUUUCUUCACUCCUUCAGAAGUGAACAAGACUUUAUACUGUGGCAGACCUCCUGUCCUCUUAAAGUCUAGUGUGAUCACUUUAUUACAUAGUUCUGGGGUUUUUUACUGGAGCUAGAAGAUACAGAAUGUUUUCUAGCUCAGUUUUUUCCAUGUAGAGCUGGUGGGUGUACCAUUAGUAAGGAGCAAUGGAAUAGGCUGAAGGAAUAUUGGGCUUUGUCGGUUAUUAUUACAAUUGAUUUUGCAUCACCCUAUUAUAAAAAAUUUUAGAAUACUCAAACAUGUUCCAUUAUUUAAGGUGGUAGCCAUGAGAUUUUUUGGAAAGCUUAAAAUGCCAUGUUAAACCCGAAUGCCAUGUCAGCAUCUGGUAACAUGAAUGUAGGCAGCUAUUACUUCAGUAACUCAAGCACAUCACGGUCUUGUUUUUCAGCUGGACCCCCUGAAUGGCAGUCAAUGACAGAGCAGUAACUGUUUAAGGUACUGGCUUAUCUGGAGCUGAGCCACAUGCACUUUUACACUGCAGGUCUGAACCAUCACUUCCCUUUUAACCGUCAGUCAUGUGAUCCUAAGCACCAAAUGCACCCAGAUGUUGGCAUCUCUGUGUUCAAGGUGCAGCAUCAAGCACUUGAUCAGCAGCUAGGUCUCUAAGUACUUGUAAAACACUGCCUAAAGGUACUUAAAUUCUAUGUCACAUUUAUUUUCAAUAAAUUUAUUUCAGUAAAGGUUGAGAUCCUGUGAAAAACAAGAACAUAUGGCAGGCAUAACCAGGAGCCAGAUCCUAAUACAAACAUAUUGGGAAAGCAAGGUUAAGAUAGAAUAUUAAAAACUCAGAUUAAAAUCAACAAUUAAGAAGCAUCAGAAUCAAUCUGCCUAUGUUAAUGUUUUAUUUCAUUUAGAUGAGACUUCUUGUGAGAAUUAAAAAUGCACUGGUCUGGCUGCCCUUGUUUGAGCAGCUGUCGCUGCAUUUUACAUCACUCAUUUGAAGGCCAAUAAUUUACUGCAAAGUAAAUUGUGAAACAUAGUAAGCAUUAGCAAAAUGAUAAUGUUUAAGCAUAGUGCUCAGAAGAUCCAAUUAAGGAAUCCAUUAGGAGGGCAAAUAAUUAUGUAUAGCAUUGCAUAACACAAUGUACUUUGCAUAUCUGUGUUCUCUGAUCCGUACAAGAGAUCAAGCAACAGUCAUCUAUUUCAGACUGAAUUUAUGUCAACGAGUACCUUUGAGAUCUGGAGCAUAUGCUAAAUUACCCAAGAUAACUAUCAGUAAUAGCAAAAACACUAGAGCCUUUAAGAUGCAGAAAAUUAUUUGCAUAGCUCCACACAGGUACAACUGUGCUGAAAUUGCCUAUUCUGAAAAUUAGGUGUUAGAAGAUAUUUACAAGGUUUUUAAAGGCAUUCCUUCUCCCUGCUAGCUACCCAUAUUUCUCAGAUAUCCUCACCCUCUUGCUUCACAUCCAUAUUGUAACGCUAUCUGUGUAUCUCCACACAGUGCAAAGAUUAUUAAUCACCUAUGUUUACACUUGGAGGCAAAUCUGUGUUUAAGGGAAUGCCUGAUGAGCCACAUCGUGAUGUUAUCAGGCCUGUAGCAUAACACUGCUAAGAGAUUAAAAAAACUAAUAAAGCUUUAAGCAGUUCUCAUUAUCUCAUUUGUGUUUGAGUUAAAUUUGAACGUGAAGGAAUAGUCCUGUCUUUUUUUCAUCUAAUUACUGAAAUCAGAAGAUGUUUGUGUUCAUAUAAUUUUAUUGAAAUACAGUGAUGUCUCAGAAGACCUUGCAAAAGAAUAAAGGAUGUUCAUCCCAGCAAUAUUCUUGCACAAUAUUUGCAAUAGAAAUAUGUACACCUACAGAUAAUAAGCAUUCCCAGGUUUUCUUUUCUCCUCCAUAAAUGUUGGUAAUGGCAAAGUUAGGUGUAAAAAAGCUUUAGCAUACAAAAGUGUAAAAUUUUGCCCAGCUGUAUCCUUUAAAUCGCCGUCAGAAAACCAAACUGCUUUUCAUCAUCAGAAAGAGGAACUACUGUAAAAACAAUGUGUAAAAAACAGUGUCUUCAUAAAUAAUGUUUAGGUAUAGUAGGGCUAUUAAAACACAGAAAAUAUGGUUUAUUACAAUUAUUCUUAAUUCUUUGCUAUGUUCUUUUCAGUAUGGACCAUUAUCUAUUUGUUGCUACCGACAUUGCUAGGUACAUUUCUAAAACUGAAGACUGGAUCUAGUCAGAGACUGAAAUAUAAAACUCAUUAAAUGCAAAAA